Molecule: ribosomal RNA, 1219 nt
Filed under: wastewater metagenome
Description: bacterial LSU rRNA
Rfam family: Bacterial large subunit ribosomal RNA
Source: RNAcentral
AUGAGGUGUGGAUAGGGGAGAAAUUCCAAUCGAACCCGGAGAUAGCUGGUUCUCCCCGAAAUAGCUUUAGGGCUAGCGUCGAGAGAAGAGUUGCGUGAAGGUAGAGCACUGAAUAUGUGAUGGCCCCAUCUCGGGGUACUGAGCAUAAUCAAACUGCGAAUGUCACGCCAACAUGCUCGGCAGUCAGACAGCGGGUGAUAAGGUCCGUUGUCAAGAGGGAAACAGCCCAGACCAUCAGCUAAGGUCCCAAAAUGUAUGCUAAGUGGAAAAGGAUGUGGAGAUGUACAGACAACUAGGAGGUUGGCUCAGAAGCAGCCAUCCUUUAAAGAGUGCGUAACAGCUCACUAGUCGAAUGACUCUGCGCCGAUAAUUUACCGGGGCUAAGCAUACUACCGAAGCUAUGGAUCCCAAGGGAUGGUAGGGGAGCGUUCCAUGAACGGAGAAGUACGACCGAAAGGACGUGUGGAGAUCAUGGAAGAGAGAAUGCCGGUGUGAGUAGCGGAACGUGGGUGAGAAUCCCACGCACCGAAAACCCAAGGUUUCCAGAGGAAGGUUCGUCCGCUCUGGGUAAGUCGGGACCUAAGGCGAGGCCGAAAGGCGUAGUCGAUGGACAACAGGUAGAGAUUCCUGUACCCGUAUAUAUGUGAAGGAAUGACGGAGAGAGGAAGCUGCAGCCAGCGGCUGGAAGAGCUGGUGCAAGCGAGAUAUCGGGAUGGCAGGCAAAUCCACCAUCCGAAACGAGAAGGCGUGAAGCGUACGGAAAGCUACGGCGAGUACGGAAGGCAGUGGAGGAACUUCCAAGAAAAGUUUCUAACGUUAAGUAUAUAUGGCCCGUACCGAAAAUGGACACACAUGGGUGAGGAGAGAAUCCUAAGGUGAGCGAGAGAACUAUAGCUAAGGAACUCUGCAAAAUGACUCCGUAACUUAGGGAGAAGGAGUGCUCAUAGAGAUAUGAGCCGCAGUGAAACGGCCCAAGCGACUGUUUACCAAAAACACAGCUCUCUGCUAAGCCGCAAGGCGAAGUAUAGGGGGUGACGCCUGCCCGGUGCUGGAAGGUUAAGGGGAGGGGUUAACGCAAGUGAAGCCCUGAACUGAAGCCCCAGUAAACGGCGGCCGUAACUAUAACGGUCCUAAGGUAGCGAAAUUCCUUGUCAGGUAAGUUCUGACCCGCACGAAAGGCGUAACGAUUUGGGCGCUGUCUCAGCUGUAGACUCGGUGA